UUUGUUGCACAUUCCUAUCUGUAUCUAUAUUUAGAUUGAUGGUAUUGAAUUGUGAUGUCCGUUUAAUAUAUCUAUGCCUUGUAGAAGUGUAUUGAGCAUUAUUUGAUCUGUUGUCACCUCUACUCAAGGCUGGUGUGUAAGGAACAACGCAGCUUCCAUGCUCAGGAUAGGAGAGAGAAUUUUUAAAAAAUUGAAAGAUAUCUUCAAAAACAUCUUACUGUAUAGUAUCUAAAUUAGCAAGUUCUAAAUGAACAGUGUGUGGC
This 263-nucleotide long non-coding RNA is filed under the name Ananas comosus (pineapple). RNAcentral's name for it is "long non-coding RNA (ACOM_LNC000774)". Lineage: Eukaryota; Viridiplantae; Streptophyta; Magnoliopsida; Poales; Bromeliaceae. The record is from RNAcentral.